GACGAACGUUGGCGGCGUGCUUAAUACAUGCAAGUCAACUGAAGCAGUGGUAGCAAUAUCGCUGUGGAGGUGGCGCACGGGUGAGUAACACGUAGGUAAUCUGCCUUCAGGUCUGGCAUAACUCCGGGAAACCGGGGCUAAUAGCAGAUGAUGCAGCGGCUCGACAUCGAGACAGUUGUUAAAGCUAUGGCGCCUGAAGAUGAGCCUGCGUCUGAUUAGCUAGUUGGCGGGGUAACGGCCCACCAAGGCAACGAUCAGUAGCUGGUCUGAGAGGAUGAUCAGCCACACUGGAACUGAGACACGGUCCAGACUCCUACGGGAGGCAGCAGUAAGGAAUAUUGCUCAAUGGGAGAAAUCCUGAAGCAGCAACGCCGCGUGAGGGACGAAGGGCUUUUGCUUGUAAACCUCUGUAGUGAGAGAAAAAAAUCCCAAUCUUUGGGACAUGAUGGUAUCUCAAAAGUAAGCCUCGGCUAACUACGUG
RNAcentral lists this ribosomal RNA (481 nucleotides) under uncultured bacterium. Its description in RNAcentral is "partial 16S ribosomal RNA". It matches the Rfam family "Bacterial small subunit ribosomal RNA", at positions 28 to 507 of the family's 1533-position model. The record is from RNAcentral.